RNAcentral lists this ribosomal RNA (338 nucleotides) under uncultured Bacillota bacterium. Its description in RNAcentral is "bacterial SSU rRNA". It matches the Rfam family "Bacterial small subunit ribosomal RNA", at positions 28 to 351 of the family's 1533-position model. Lineage: Bacteria; Bacillati; Bacillota. The record is from RNAcentral.
GACGAACGCUGGCGGCAUGCCUAAUACAUGCAAGUCGAACGAAGCGGACUAAAGUGCUUGCACUUUUGAAGUUUAGUGGCGGACGGGUGAGUAACACGUAGGCAACCUGCCUGUAAGCCGGGGAUAACUCACGGAAACGUGAGCUAAGACCGGAUAGACAAGAGGAAGGCAUCUUCUUUUUGGGAAAGACGGAGCAAUCUGUCGCUUACAGAUGGGCCUGCGGCGCAUUAGCUAGUUGGUGAGGUAACGGCUCACCAAGGCGACGAUGCGUAGCCGACCUGAGAGGGUGAACGGCCACACUGGGACUGAGACACGGCCCAGACUCCUACGGGAGGCAG